GGAAUUGUGCCCGAACUAAGGAUUACUUUGAUAGAGUAAACUAUAGAGGUUUAAACCCUCUCUUUUCCU
RNAcentral lists this transfer RNA (69 nucleotides) under Sphenomorphus indicus. Its description in RNAcentral is "tRNA-Ile". The record is from RNAcentral. Lineage: Eukaryota; Metazoa; Chordata; Lepidosauria; Squamata; Scincidae.